Molecule: ribosomal RNA, 193 nt
Filed under: Saccharina japonica
Lineage: Eukaryota; Phaeophyceae; Laminariales; Laminariaceae
Description: partial 18S ribosomal RNA
Rfam family: Eukaryotic small subunit ribosomal RNA
Source: RNAcentral
CAUUGAUUACGUCCCUGCCCUUUGUACACACCGCCCGUCGCACCUACCGAUUGAAUGUUUCGGUGAAGAUUCCGGACUGUGGCUCGCGUGCUUCACGGCGCUCUUGCCGUGGGAAGUUAUCUAAACCUCAACAUUUAGAGGAAGGUGAAGUCGUAACAAGGUUUCCGUAGGUGAACCUGCGGAAGGAUCAUUA